This is a non-coding RNA of Macaca mulatta (Rhesus monkey), 844 nucleotides long. The record is from RefSeq and is a predicted model, not a curated record. Lineage: Eukaryota; Metazoa; Chordata; Mammalia; Primates; Cercopithecidae.
GUGAUUCUCCUGCCUCAGCCUCCCAAGUACCUGAGAUUACAGAGGAGAGCGUGGCUGGCUCUGAUGUUCAAUGAUAUGGGAACAGAGAGAGGUAGGAAGGCCUGAACCAGCCAAGAGACUUUACCAGAGGUAAAAAUUCCUCUUCCUUCAAUGCCUCAAAUCAGGAUCUUGAAGUUGGAAAAUAACAAAAGCCUGUACAGAUUCCACUUUGAUUGUUUUUGGCAAGGCUAUUUCAUAACUACCUGUGGUGAUCUAGAGGGUUUCUCAGAAGAAAUGACAUUUGUGAAAGGAGUCCAGAAGCUGAGUGAUAAUAAAAGCUAUAGUUCAAAACCACACUAAGCACACUUCAUGUCAUCCUCUGUGUAGCCAGCCUCCAAGGUGGCCUCCAGUGAUCCUAAAGUCCUGUGUUCAUGCCUUUGUAUAGCCUCUCCCAACACUGAAUCAUGCCUGGCCUGUUACCAGUAGAGUAUGGCACACAUUGUGACGUCCAAGGCUUGGUCAUAAAAGACAUAUGCAACUUCCUUGUGCUUUCCCUUGCAUCAUCUGUUCUAGACAAAGCAGCUGCCAUUUUAUGAGGACACACUCAAGCAGCUCUAUGGAGAGGCCCACGUGGUGAGAAACUGAGGCCUCCUGCCAAAAACCUGCAUCAACUUGUCAGUCACGUGACUGAACCAUCCUGGGAGCAGAUCUUCCUGCUCCAGACAACGCUGCAGUUGAUCACAGCCCCAGUGGAUACCUUGGCUGCAGAGAGACCAUGAUCUAGAACCAGUUAGCUAAGUUGCUCCUGAAUUCCUGACUCACGAAACUGUUUAAGAUAAUAAAUAUCGUAUGUUGUAACAAGUCA